GACGGUGUGGCACAGCGGUCUACUGCGGUAGACUUGAAUCCAAUUCGAUAUCUACUCCUCUCUGAGGGCGCAGGUUCGAGUCCUGCCACCGUCG
Non-coding RNA from Microbotryomycetes sp. JL221, 94 nucleotides. The record is from the annotation of a GenBank genome assembly. NCBI's taxonomy places the organism in Eukaryota, Fungi, Basidiomycota, Microbotryomycetes.